This 253-nucleotide ribosomal RNA is filed under the name uncultured prokaryote. RNAcentral describes it as "partial 16S ribosomal RNA". It matches the Rfam family "Bacterial small subunit ribosomal RNA", at positions 525 to 777 of the family's 1533-position model. The record is from RNAcentral.
ACAGAGGGUGCAAGCGUUAAUCGGAAUUACUGGGCGUAAAGCGUGCGUAGACGGUUAUUUAAGUCGGGUGUGAAAGCCCCGGGCUCAACCUGGGAAUUGCAUUCGAGACUGAAUAGCUAGGGUGCGGAAGAGGGAAGCGGAAUUUCCGGUGUAGCGGUGAAAUGCGUAGAUAUCGGAAGGAACACCAGUGGCGAAAGCGGCUUCCUGGUCCAGCACCGACGUUCAGGCACGAAAGCGUGGGGAGCAAACAGGA